GUCUGUCCCAUAUGUCUGUCCAUGAUGGGGCUUUGGGAAAGCUCCAAACCAGACUGCCCUGGGGAGGACGUGUGAAGUGGUGAUGGGCUUUCAGAUGCCAGGUCAAGACGGUGAGUAGCUGCGCCCAAGUGGCUGGAAAUCACAAAGGACAUCUCCUCAAAGGCACCAGCUGCUUCUGUGGGGCACCCAUGCUGCCACCCCCUUGUUCAGAGCUCGCUUUGCCCUUAGGAUCUGGAAAAUGAAGCCUUUGAAGUCCAGCCUGACCUCACACACAGCCUUUUUGGAGCCAGACUGAACCCACCACAGGCCCCCUAAGUGGAUGGCAGGAGCCCUCCCCCGUCGUAUUUAUUGUACAACAAAACUCCCAUCCAGGAGGAUUCUGCAGACCGACGGACAGAGGAGUCAGGCUCAGGAGCUGAGGAGAGGACGUGAAUAAUUUCCUUCAUAGCUGGUUUAGAAAGAGCCAGCUGCUUUCUACGCUCCUGCCAAAACCAAGAGGAGAUAGUCUGAGGUUAAGGAACGCGCGGGAUAAUUUUCAUACCAAAUGUGAAAAGGGAGAAAUUGCUUUAACAUGUAGUAACUCACCAUAAAAAUGUGAUACGUGUCCCCUUCCAGCUUUAAAAGGAGACUUUAGAAACCCUGCUCGUCUUUGAUUUGUUAAGGCAAUUUUACAUUUCUUUUUUUUUUUUUAAUUCACAAGUUUGUGAGAAAACAUAAUGAAACCCUUGAUGUUUUUAUGACCUCGAUUAGCGCUUCAUUGUAUAAGUAUUUGGUUAUUGAAACAUACACCAAAUAUUGCGCUGUAAAAUCUGUUGUGACUUACUCAAUAGCUUUUGGAAUUAAUAGGGAAAAAAAUGACAAGAUUGCAAAAAUGGUAUUAAUUUUUAUUUCAUUUCAUUUAAUAAAAAACUCACUUGACUGCACAGUCCUUUGCUUUAUUUUCUCACUUAUCGUGUAUAUAUUUGGAGAAAAAUGUCUGUUGCAUAUCAUCUCUCUAACACUAAAAAACGAUGCUGUUAUUAAUAAGUUGCUGAGAAAAAUAAACCAGUUUGCACUUUGA
This is a long non-coding RNA of Calidris pugnax (ruff), 1060 nucleotides long. RefSeq lists it as uncharacterized. The transcript is spliced from 2 exons. The record is from RefSeq and is a predicted model, not a curated record. NCBI's taxonomy places the organism in Eukaryota, Metazoa, Chordata, Aves, Charadriiformes, Scolopacidae.